This 809-nucleotide ribosomal RNA is filed under the name uncultured bacterium. Its description in RNAcentral is "bacterial SSU rRNA". It matches the Rfam family "Bacterial small subunit ribosomal RNA", at positions 8 to 796 of the family's 1533-position model. The record is from RNAcentral.
AGAGUUUGAUCAUGGCUCAGAAUCAACGCUGGCGGCGUGCCUCAGACAUGCAAGUCGAACGCGAAAGUCCCCUUCGGGGGAUGAGUAGAGUGGCGCACGGGUGAGUAACACGUAGGUAAUCUACCUUCGGGUGGGGAAUAACCCAGGGAAACUUGGGCUAACACCGCAUAAUGCAGCGGCACCACAUGGUGACAGUUGUUAAAGCGGGGGAUUUUCGGACCUCGCGCCUGAAGAGGAGCCUGCGGCAGAUUAGCUUGUUGGUAAGGUAACGGCUUACCAAGGCGACGAUCUGUAGCCGGCCUGAGAGGGCGGUCGGCCACACUGACACUGACAUACGGGUCAGACUCCUACGGGAGGCAGCAGUCGGGAAUUUGGGCAAUGGGCGAAAGCCUGACCCAGCAACGCCGCGUGAAGGAUGAAAUCCCUCGGGAUGUAAACUUCGCAAGAAUGGGAAGAAUUAGUAGGGGACAAUACCCCCUAUGAUGACGGUACCAUUUGUAAGCUCCGGCUAACUCCGUGCCAGCAGCCGCGGUAAUACGGGGGGAGCAAGCGUUGUUCGGAUUUACUGGGCGUAAAGGGCGCGUAGGCGGUCAGCACAAGUCAGUUGUGAAAUCUCCGGGCUUAACUCGGAAAGGUCAACUGAUACUGUGCGACUAGAGUGCGGAAGGGGCAACUGGAAUUCUCGGUGUAGCGGUGAAAUGCGUAGAUAUCGAGAGGAACACCUGCGGCGAAGGCGGGUUGCUGGGCCGACACUGACGCUGAUGCGCGAAAGCCAGGGGAGCGAACGGGAUUAGAUACCCUAGUAGUCC